AACGCACAUUGCGCCCGCCAGCACUCUGGCGGGCAUGCCUGUCCGAGCGUCAUUUCAACCCUCGCGCCGUCCCUCCAGGGGGCUCGGCGCGGUGUUGGGGGACACGGCCCCGGCCGCCCCCGAAAUGCAGUGGCGACCCCGCCGCGGCCCCUCCAGCGCAGUAAGCACGCUCGCUACGGGAGGCCCGGUGGACGCGUCCGCCGUAAAACGCCCAACUCUUCAGAAGUUGACCUCGGAUCAGGUAGGGAUACCCGCUGAACUUAA
RNAcentral lists this unclassified non-coding RNA (264 nucleotides) under Hirsutella sp. Its description in RNAcentral is "partial contains 5.8S ribosomal RNA, internal transcribed spacer 2, and large subunit ribosomal RNA". Lineage: Eukaryota; Fungi; Ascomycota; Sordariomycetes; Hypocreales; Ophiocordycipitaceae. RNAcentral also lists the same sequence under 2 other names. The record is from RNAcentral.